Long non-coding RNA from Lingula anatina, 1335 nucleotides. Lineage: Eukaryota; Metazoa; Brachiopoda; Lingulata; Lingulida; Lingulidae. The record is from RefSeq and is a predicted model, not a curated record.
AAGAAUAUAAAGCAAAGAAGUCCUACACUGGUGGCAUCUCCACUUUAAUGUCAUCUCCAUUACAUCGACAGAGUCCUAGCUGUCAACUGGAGACACUCUACAGCAUCUGAUUGGUUCAAAUCAGAUAUAAAGCAUGGCUGCUGUUGCUUUGGACAUUCCAAGUUUACCUGGAUUUGAUGAUAUUUUCUUUGGAAUCAGACGAGACAGCAUAGAAUACACACCUGUGAGGGAGGUAAAUGUAUUAUAACUGUAAGGACUGAAAUUGUACAACCAAUGCAACCGUACAGCCUCACCUGCAGCUUUAUUAGCAGUCAAAAUGUGUACAUGUCAUUACCUUUUGAAUUAUAACAACAGUCUGACAAAUAGAAAGAUUUUGUCUAGAGAAAAAAAUUAUUUUGUACCCCUCAGGUCUCGUAUGACAGGAAAAGAAAUCUGAAUUCUAGACGAGAUAAUUGGGCUACAAAACAACCAUAUGUCCCCUGGAUAUCUAUAUAUGUAACUGCAUGCUGUAAUGUGGCCCUGCUUGAAAGUUCCGAAAUGAAUCACAAGCUCUGUUUCUUUACUUAAUAUUAACUUCCUGGUUUUGUAGAUUUUUCCUGGUUUAAGAAGAUUGUAUUUACAUCUGGGGCCUCUAUGCAAAUAUUCUCAUUCCUGUUCCUUCAUUAUUACAGUGUAAUAUAUUUUGCUUAUGUAAAAGAUCUGUAGUACAUUUUCUUGAAAUACAUGAAGAUAGGUGCAUUUAAAUAAUGCAUUUUUUUACCCCAGUACUUCAUUAUACAGCUGUAGAUGCCCCUUUAGCAUACCUGCUUUCCAAAAAUGUUUUUGAAAAAUAUUUUGAUAUCACCAAAGAUUUUUUUCUUUUUUUUUUCCUUGCAUUCAGUGAUGAAUUUAAAAGCAAUCACUUCAUCUUUAUUUAACAAUGUCAAAGGUUGGUUAAAUGAAAACAAAAAAGGGCCUAAAAAACCAUUGGCAUUUCUUGCAAAAAUAUUAUUAUGAUCUUAUGCAUGUAAAAACUUUGUUCAUGCAGUUCUGAAAAUAGAAGCAAGUAUAAUAAUUGAUUCUAGACAUUGAAAACUGCAGCUUCGCUUGACACAAUUGUUAUAUCUUUUAAAAUUUAGUUCUUUAUGACAUCACAUGGACUUUAAUUGGGUCUUAAGUGUUUAUAAUUCUUUUUCAAUUGUCAUGCUGGGAAGAAAUGAGAUUCUGAUGUGUAGGUUGAAGUGGGGCAUCCUUCACAUUACUAUGUAGUACAUAUUGGCUAGUCUGGCUACUACAUGAUCAUUGCAGACAUUAAGUCCAUUGUUGAUCUUUAUCCUGUAUUACUUAAACAAUUUA